CUAGACUUGUAUAUCUAUUUGGGCCAGUUACAUGCUGAACUAGACUUGUAUAUCUAUUUGGGCCAGUUACAUGCUGAACUAGACUUGUAUAUCUAUUUGGGCCAGUUACAUGCUGAACUAGACUUGUAUAUCUAUUUGGGCCAGUUACAUGCUGAACUAGACUUGUAUAUCUAUUUGGGCCAGUUACAUGCUGAACUAGACUUGUAUAUCUAUUUGGGCCAGUUACAUGCUGAACUAGACUAUCUGAAUCGGGUAUAAAAUGGAAUGUUACUAUGUUUACUAUUUCAAUAUUCCCCGAUUCUAUCAUAACUUUCUAAGAUUAAAAUUUAACAGCAGAAGGUAGGUAGCUAUAAUCACAUACAUUUUUUAAUAACAUUGUCCACGUGCUAAUUUUACGUGAAUCUGAAAAAAAACUAAUUUAGGCAUUAGGCACAACUAACCCAUCCAUUGAUGGUAAUCUCUCUCUAGAAAUGGUUUAUCAUAUUUAAUGUCAAUUAACAAAGUAUGUAUCAAUAAGUAAAAGUCUGAUUAAAUGAUUAUAAAUCAACACUGUGCGAGGAGUAAAAAUGUGAAUAAAAUUUGAAUUAUAAUCAACAAAGGUGAACAAUACAGUUCAGACUAGUGAACAGAAAAACAGUUCAGACUAGUGAACAGAAAAACAGUUCAGACUAGUGAACAGAAAAACAGUUCAGACUAGUGAACAGAAAACAGUUCAGACUAGUGAACAGAACAUAAAGAUUAGAAUUACGUAGAAAUAUAAUAUAAAGAUUAGAAUUACGUAGAAAUAUAAUUUAUCAGAAAAUAAAACUGUGUAAUCACACAAUUGAUUAAAUUAGUGUAAAUAAAAUAUCACAACAAUCUUACAACGUCGUAAAACACUACAAAAAUACACGACCAAGAUAUAUGAUCAAUAGUUCAACAUCACAACUCAUAACAAACGUUCAUGCAAAAAGAGCUUGCCGGAUGUCUUAAAAAUUUACAGGAUGACAUACAUCAGAUGUAAAGUACUAUAUAGAUCUUCUCCAAUGACAUCCAUCAGAUGUUAGGUGGAUCUUCUCCAAUGACUUACGUUUUUAGUACUAUUCGGUUGUUAGGUAAGAAUAACACUACUUUAAACACACGACAUGAGUAGAUAGACAACAGAAAGUUCACAAGCAGUACUUUGAUAUACAAUAACCCAACAGGAAUGAAGAUAUAUUUAAGUAGGUUAGGGACAACUAC
This is a long non-coding RNA of Pecten maximus, 1221 nucleotides long. RefSeq lists it as uncharacterized. The transcript has 2 exons. NCBI's taxonomy places the organism in Eukaryota, Metazoa, Mollusca, Bivalvia, Pectinida, Pectinidae. The record is from RefSeq and is a predicted model, not a curated record.